Molecule: long non-coding RNA, 325 nt
Filed under: Gopherus agassizii (Agassiz's desert tortoise)
Lineage: Eukaryota; Metazoa; Chordata; Testudines; Testudinidae
Description: lncRNA (ENSGAGG00000010173.1)
Source: RNAcentral
CACGCGGCGGGCGGGAGCCGGGGCCUGUGAGGCGGCGUCGUAGGAGGCGAAGCGGCGCGGUCGCAGCAGCAGUGGAGGCCGCGGGUUCCGCAGGAGCCGGAUGUAGGUCUCUAGGAACCACUGUGCAGUGUCAUCUUUCAGCUUCCCACUUCCCCUGAAGUGCAACUUCAGCAGAUAAAUUGGGGGAGAGUUUAACCAUUUGCGACAAAGACAAGGUGUUUAAGAGCUGAGAACCACAGUUAAUAGGAGACUUUCACAAGGUAUGUAAAUACAGUCUUGUGUCUGGUCAAUUUUCAAAUGUUACAUGUUUGCAAAUAAUAUGUGC